RNAcentral lists this ribosomal RNA (247 nucleotides) under uncultured bacterium. RNAcentral's name for it is "partial 16S ribosomal RNA". It matches the Rfam family "Bacterial small subunit ribosomal RNA", at positions 523 to 769 of the family's 1533-position model. The record is from RNAcentral.
AUACGUAGGUGGCGAGCGUUGUCCGGAUUUACUGGGCGUAAAGGGAGCGUAGGCGGAUUUUUAAGUGAGAUGUGAAAUACUCGGGCUUAACCUGAGUGCUGCAUUUCAAACUGGAAGUCUAGAGUGCAGGAGAGGAGAAGGGAAUUCCUAGUGUAGCGGUGAAAUGCGUAGAGAUUAGGAAGAACACCAGUGGCGAAGGCGGCUUGCUGGACUGUUACUGACACUGAGGCUCGAAAGCGUGGGGAGC